CACGUAGGCGGCUUUGUAAGUAAGAGGUGAAAGCCCAGAGCUCAACUCUGGAAUUGCCUUUUAGACUGCAUCGCUUGAAUCAUGGAGAGGUCAGUGGAAUUCCGAGUGUAGAGGUGAAAUUCGUAGAUAUUCGGAAGAACACCAGUGGCGAAGGCGGCUGACUGGACAUGUAUUGACGCUGAGGUGCGAAAGCGUGGGAGCAAACA
This 206-nucleotide ribosomal RNA is filed under the name uncultured bacterium. RNAcentral describes it as "partial 16S ribosomal RNA". It matches the Rfam family "Bacterial small subunit ribosomal RNA", at positions 568 to 774 of the family's 1533-position model. The record is from RNAcentral.